UGAAGAGAAUACUAGGGAGAG
RNAcentral lists this non-coding RNA (21 nucleotides) under Rattus norvegicus (Norway rat). Lineage: Eukaryota; Metazoa; Chordata; Mammalia; Rodentia; Muridae. The record is from RNAcentral.